GGGGUUGUGGCUCAAUGGUAGAGUGCUCGCCUCACAAGUGCAAGGCCCUGGGUUCGAUCCUUAGCAAAACUA
This 72-nucleotide transfer RNA is filed under the name Ictidomys tridecemlineatus (thirteen-lined ground squirrel). RNAcentral's name for it is "Spermophilus tridecemlineatus (thirteen-lined ground squirrel) tRNA". It matches the Rfam family "tRNA". Rfam says of the family: Transfer RNA (tRNA) molecules are approximately 80 nucleotides in length. The record is from Rfam by way of RNAcentral. Lineage: Eukaryota; Metazoa; Chordata; Mammalia; Rodentia; Sciuridae.